RNAcentral lists this ribosomal RNA (257 nucleotides) under uncultured bacterium. RNAcentral's name for it is "partial 16S ribosomal RNA". It matches the Rfam family "Bacterial small subunit ribosomal RNA", at positions 793 to 1055 of the family's 1533-position model. The record is from RNAcentral.
GUCCACGCCGUAAACUAUCAAUACUCGUUUUCAGCGAUAUACAGUUGGAGACUAAGCGAAAGUGAUAAGUAUUGCACCUGGGGAGUACGAUCGCAAGGUUGAAACUCAAAGGAAUUGACGGGGGCCCGCACAAGCGGUGGAGCAUGUGGUUUAAUUCGAUGAUACGCGAGGAACCUUACCAGGGCUUAAAUGCAGAACGCAUGGUGUGGAAACAUGCCAGUCUUCGGACGGUCUGCAAGGUGCUGCAUGGCUGUCGU